CCCGACCUUCCUCUUCCUCGCAGCUUCCAACAUCGAUAACGUGGUGCUGGAUGAGGAUCGCUCCGGCGCUCGGCGGCUUCAGAACCUCUGGAGGGACCAGCGUGAGGAAGAGCUGGGUGAAUAUUACAUGAAAAAAUACGCCAAGUCCUCGGUGGGAGAGACCGUUUACGGCGGGGCCCGCCGGGCCCCCCGCC
Long non-coding RNA from Egretta garzetta (little egret), 194 nucleotides. RefSeq lists it as uncharacterized. The transcript is spliced from 3 exons. Lineage: Eukaryota; Metazoa; Chordata; Aves; Pelecaniformes; Ardeidae. The record is from RefSeq and is a predicted model, not a curated record.